Molecule: long non-coding RNA, 1871 nt
Filed under: Oncorhynchus mykiss (rainbow trout)
Lineage: Eukaryota; Metazoa; Chordata; Actinopteri; Salmoniformes; Salmonidae
Description: lncRNA (ENSOMYG00000060727.1)
Source: RNAcentral
AGUUUCUCAGGAGGACUCUGUCCUCAACCUUCAGCCACGUGGGAGCCGCGCUGAGAUACGUCUGGGACAGGAUCAGCUCUCAGGAGUCUAAAGAAGCCAUCCUGGGCUGUGUGCUGUGUCUCCUUAACAUGCACAAGAAGGUGGAUCAGCCAGCAGCUGACUCUCACUGAGUCACUCUCUUGGCUUUCCUUCCUCUUCAGAAAGAAAAAGAGAGAGGACGAGAGAGAGAACAAGAGAGGGAGAGAGAACAAGAGAGAGAACGAGAACAAGAGAACAAGAGAGACUUGGGAAGAGAGGAAGCUCUCUCUACUGAGCUCUCUCCACUUUCCUUUCUGUUCACUCAAACUCCACUUGUUUACUGCCGGACGGAGAGAGAGAACAAGAGAGGGAACAAGAGAGGGAGGGGGGGGUUUCAGACUUUUCAUUAGAGCUUACUUGGACAGUAGUAUUUUUCUGACUAGAGAGAAAAGCGCCCAGAUUCAGGUGAAUGAGACUAUAUGUUUACAUAUCGGACUGUUUCGUACCGCUGGGUUGGUGCUUACCACGUCAGAAAGCAUCGUCAGGGAGGUCCGACCUUUCACCAUCGGGACCAGGCUGUCUGUCUCUGGACCAGGUCCAGACUUCCGUGACUCCUACCAGAGGGACUCUGGAUAAUAUCACCCUGCAGAUCAAGUCUCCCUCUACCUCAGCCAGGUGCAGAUCCAUCAGGAAGAUCUCCAUCUCUGGAAGCCCUGAGGAGGUGGACAGCUCCUGGAGGAGACACCAGUCAGAUCGCAGAGUGGUCAUUGAGAAGGAGGACAGCUCCUGGAGGAGACAGCAGUCAGAUCGCAGGGUGGUCAUUGAGAAGGAAGACAGCUCCUGGAGGAGACAGCAGUCAGAUCGCAGGGUGGUCAUUGAGAAGGAGGACAGCUCCUGGAGGAGACUGGGUGGUCAGUAUGGAACCAGGAUUGGGAAGAACCCCUGUCACAGUGACCAGAAAAAUCUGAAAACAUCAAAAACAACAACAUCAGCAACUCCUAACCACAGCUGCCCAGGAUAGUGGGAGUCAGCUGUGAGAAUAUAAAGCUGCCCAGGAUAGUGGGAGUCAGCUGUGAGAAUAUAAAAGCUGCCCAGGAUAGUGGGAGUCAGCUGUGAGAAUGUAAAAGCUGCCCAGGAUAGUGGGAGUCAGCUGUGAGAAUGUAAAAGCUGCCCAGGAUAGUGGGAGUCAGCUGUGAGAAUGUAAAAGCUGCCCAGGAUAGUGGGAGUCAGCUGUGAGAAUGUAAAAGCUGCCCAGGAUAGUGGGAGUCAGCUGUGAGAAUAUUACCCACUUCACAUUUAAGAUAAGAGACAAAAAACGUGUCUGUUAAUGUUAAAAAGAACGACACUGGUUUUAGGCUCUCUCUAUGUUGGAAAAUGUUUCACCACCAUCAGAGUGCAAAGUAGCCUGUUGUUGGGCUAAGAGGCUCAAACAGAAAGGUCAAUAAAUACCUAAAGUUCCUAAUCCAUAUAGUAACACAUGAACAUGUAGGUUCAUAAUUAGGAAAUGCAAAAUCUGUUGUUUUUUAUUCAAAUAUGGGCUGGAAUGAAAAACCACAAUUUGUAGAAAUAUAAAGGGUGAACUUCGGAGUAGUGUGGGCAAUCAAUUUAAUAGGCGCACACACCAGUAAAGCUUUCCCAUUUGUUUGACAUUGUCAAGAUUACUGCUGUGUGGGCAUGCUGGUUGCGUUUGCAGGGUUUGGUGUCAAGGUGUUUGUGAGUGAGUUGAGCGGCCUGUGCAGAUCAAAUUUUGCUGCAUGUUUUGGAAAAUGAACAUGAGUUCAUACACUUACUACUUCCACAUUUCUAUAAUAUUAGUAGUCCCUGAUGGGUGUUAGUAGUCCCUGAUGGGUGUU